GACGAACGCUGGCGGCGUGCCUAAUACAUGCAAGUCGAGCGGAAUGAUGAAGAAGCUUGCUUCUUCUGAUUUUAGCGGCGGACGGGUGAGUAACACGUGGGCAACCUACCUUGUAGAUUGGGAUAACUCCGGGAAACCGGGGCUAAUACCGAAUAAUCCAUUUUGCUUCAUGGCGAGAUGUUAAAAGGCGGCUUCGGCUGUCACUACGAGAUGGGCCCGCGGCGCAUUAGCUAGUUGGUAGGGUAAUGGCCUACCAAGGCGACGAUGCGUAGCCGACCUGAGAGGGUGAUCGGCCACACUGGGACUGAGACACGGCCCAGACUCCUACGGGAGGCAGCAGUAGGGAAUCUUCCACAAUGGACGAAAGUCUGACGGAGCAACGCCGCGUGAGUGAAGAAGGUUUUCGGAUCGUAAAACUCUGUUGUUAGGGAAGAACACGUACGAGAGUAACUGCUCGUACCUUGACGGUACCUAACCAGAAAGCCACGGCUAACUACGUG
This 500-nucleotide ribosomal RNA is filed under the name uncultured bacterium. RNAcentral describes it as "bacterial SSU rRNA". It matches the Rfam family "Bacterial small subunit ribosomal RNA", at positions 28 to 507 of the family's 1533-position model. The record is from RNAcentral.